UGCUGUUGCUGCAGCAUCAUAUAUUUAAUAAAUCAUAGAUAGUAACAGAGUCAAGAGUGGAAUCUGAUAUUUAACCCCCAAAUUCUUAUUUUAUACAUCACACAGUAUUAGACUGAGGAAGGAUUUUGUAGAUGGAAAUUAUGAGCUCCUUUUGAACAUUUUAAAGCAUUUAUAUCGAAUUCUGCUGCUGUCUUGAGAUGCUGUGCGUUUAAGCACUAACCUUCCUAAAACUCUCUUUAAGUAGAUAUCACCCCCACUUUAUGAAAAUGGGGAUCAGUUUUGUGGUUUGCU
Molecule: long non-coding RNA, 291 nt
Filed under: Bos taurus (domestic cattle)
Lineage: Eukaryota; Metazoa; Chordata; Mammalia; Artiodactyla; Bovidae
Description: long non-coding RNA NONBTAT023559
Source: RNAcentral